This 513-nucleotide ribosomal RNA is filed under the name uncultured bacterium. RNAcentral describes it as "bacterial SSU rRNA". It matches the Rfam family "Bacterial small subunit ribosomal RNA", at positions 28 to 531 of the family's 1533-position model. The record is from RNAcentral.
GACGAACGCUGGCGGCGUGCCUAACACAUGCAAGUCGAGCGGGGUUGAAGCGAGGGGUAACUCGAGUUUCUACCUAGCGGCGGACGGGUGAGUAACGCGUGGGCAACCUGCCUCAAGGACUGGGAUAACAGCUCGAAAGGGCUGCUAAUACCGGAUAAGCCUAUGGCCUCGCAUGGGGCCAUGAGCAAAGGGGAAACCCGCCUUGAGAUGGGCCCGCGUCCCAUCAGCUAGUUGGUGAGGUGAAGGCUCACCAAGGCGACGACGGGUAGCCGGCCUGAGAGGGUGACCGGCCACACUGGGACUGAGACACGGCCCAGACUCCUACGGGGGGCAGCAGUGGGGAAUCUUGCACAAUGGGCGAAAGCCUGAUGCAGCGACGCCGCGUGAGCGAAGAAGGCCUUCGGUUGUAAGCUCUGUCUGGAGGGACGGAAGGAAGGUAGGACGGGUACCGUCCGGACGGAAGGCCGACGGCUAACUACCGUGCCACGCAGCCGCGGUAAGUAUCACGUGUAC